GGUAGUCCACGCCGUAAACGAUGAGUACUGGGUGUCGCGGGUAGUUGACCCCUGCGGUGCCGUAGCUAACGCGUUAAGUACUCCGCCUGGGGAUUACGGUCGCAAGAUUAAAACUCAAAGGAAUUGACGGGGGCCCGCACAAGCAGCGGAGCGUGUGGUUUAAUUCGAUGCAACGCGAAGAACCUUACCCGGGCUUGACAUGCACGUGGUACUGACCCGAAAGGGAAGGGACCCGCAAGGGAGCGUGCACAGGUGCUGCACGGCUGUCGUCAGCUCGUGCCGUGAGGUGUUGGGUUAAG
This 299-nucleotide ribosomal RNA is filed under the name uncultured bacterium. RNAcentral describes it as "partial 16S ribosomal RNA". It matches the Rfam family "Bacterial small subunit ribosomal RNA", at positions 789 to 1084 of the family's 1533-position model. The record is from RNAcentral.